CCUGGCACUAGCAGGGAUAAAACUCACAUCUGCCUGCUGCACAAGGCCAGGCACCUGAAUGAAAGGGCCUAUGACACAUGGGUGAGCUGUGCAAGGCAUACAGAAACCCCCACACAUUAGGAAACAAAGCAGAGAAAGAGGCGGGGGGAGUAAAUGGGCUCUGCGCCCCUGUAUAAACGGCACAAGUUCCCCUCUGUGAGCUCGGGUGGGAAUCCGGCACUGCCACGCCUACCUAGGGAGCAGAACACUAAAGAAGUUGCAGCUGCAAACACGGAAGUGCCCAUCCUCCUGAAGGCAAGAAAAGGCCAAUUCAUGAGACCUGAACCCGUUGACAGAACAGGGCCGGCUACGAGGUAUCUCCCAGCUCGACACGUUCGUGUGGGGGGAAAAGCGCUGAAAGGGUCAACGUGUCCUAUUCCGAUCUUUCUGAAACAAAACAUUUCAGACCCGUUUGAUCUGCAACGACGUCUUGUUUGGAUGUUUACGCUGAUUGAAUCGACACAUCGCCAGUGACCGGAACAGAAUGGGCUUUUUUCAGAUCUGUUUUGGCUGGUGGAAAAUGUCAAGAUUUUGACUUUUUUGCCCCAAUUUGGGAGGGGAACAUUUUUCAGUAUUUCCCACAUUCUCACAGGGUAGGAAAGAGGCUGCCGGCCUAGCUUGAGUGUCUAUCUUGUCUGUUUAGCUUGCAGAUUCUUUGGGGCAGGGACUGUUUCUAUUUGAUGGUUGUACAACACACAGCCCAAUGGGGCCCCAGUUUUAUCUGGGACCCACUCCAUGUUACAAGUAUCUGAUUGCCCUCUAAUUUCCUGCUCUCACUUUCUCAUCAGUGUCUCUGUCUCUGUCCAAAGGAGAUUUGUAUCCUCCUACUUGUUUAGCCAUCAAUUCAAAAUGCAGAGUGUACAGAAAGUGCAGCGCCUGCCACAAUAGGCACAUGGUCUGUGGCUGGAGCUCCAAGGUCCCAGCAUGAUACCAGCCAAUAAAUAAAUAAUAAAUAACCAGGAUCCUUGCCCUGGCCCUGCCUGAAGCUUCUCCAACCCGCAGGUGUUCACAAAUCAUGAGUCAAGGCUUCCAAAACCCAUGAGAUUUAAAUCAAUAAAUUAAAUGGGGUUUGUGUUAUUUGCCUUCUGGGUUCUGAGCCUUCUGAGCCGUGUUUUCCAGCUUUUCUCCUCAGCCAUGAGGGCUAGAAGCUUGUUUUACUACUUUUGAAAGGAAGCUGAGAUGCUUGGUGCCAUCACCUGACUCCAGGAGCUGGGGCUUUAAGAAAAAAACCCACCCACUGUUGUGGUAAAAUUGCACGAGUUGGUAUCCCAGGGACCGAGAUCUCUGCAAGGGGGAAUGGAGGAGCACAGGUCCCGCUGACCUCCCUCCCUCCUUAGCCCAGGCACCGUGGCAGAGGGUCACUUCAUGGCCUGUUUAGCAGCUCCAGCGGGCUCUAAGUUGUGGUGAAAUCAGUUGCGGGAACCGCAGGAACCACCACGUCGCACCCAGUCGCCGUUGCACGGCCACGGCGACACCGACACAGUGAUGUCACACCCGAACAAUGAUGUUACACCCAGACGCCGUUGCAUGGCGACACUGGCACAGUGAUGUCACACCCGAACAAUGAUGUCAUACCCAGAUGCCAUUGCACGGUGACACUGACAUGAUGUCACACCCAAACACCAGUGCAAAGACAUCACAUCCAAACACAGCAGCUCAGUUACACCGGCAUGAUGUCACACCUGAACACCUGCAAGGUGAUGAUGUCACAGCCAAAGGCCUGCAUGGUGGUGACGUCACAAGAAAACGCCCGGGGAGAAAAAUAGGGCCCCCCCUUACUGUCCUGAAAGGGGCCUGACAAAAGCGAUCUAGCAGAGGAUGGUUUCGAUCCAUCGACCUCUGGGUUAUGGGCCCAGCACGCUUCCGCUGCGCCACUCUGCUACGCAGCUAACGUCUCCCUCAAAUUUCUACAUGUAGCCCUGCGUUCGCGUGCUUGGCAUGCACGCACGCGCACUCGGCGCCCGGUGCGCCUCCCACG
Long non-coding RNA from Dermochelys coriacea (leatherback sea turtle), 2017 nucleotides. RefSeq lists it as uncharacterized. The transcript has 3 exons. The record is from RefSeq and is a predicted model, not a curated record. NCBI's taxonomy places the organism in Eukaryota, Metazoa, Chordata, Testudines, Dermochelyidae.